UCUCUCUCCCAUGGCUCCCCCUUUAUCAUAGGCGUGACUCAUGGGGGAUGAAGAGUUACACUAUAGACUGUGCAACUCAAUAAUACCAAACCAUUUCUCUUUUUUAAGAAUGAAGAAAAAAUGAUUUUGAUCUCAGCAGCUUGAAGAAGGAGACCAUUUAGGAAGCUUUGUUUUCUGAGGUGAAUGUUGUCUGGCUCGAGGACUCUAUCAUCUUAAUCAAUGUGAAUGAUUAAGGAAUUUACAGUGUUGUCGGACCAGGCUUCAUUCCCCUCAGU
Non-coding RNA from Lupinus albus (white lupine), 275 nucleotides. The record is from the annotation of a GenBank genome assembly. NCBI's taxonomy places the organism in Eukaryota, Viridiplantae, Streptophyta, Magnoliopsida, Fabales, Fabaceae.